RNAcentral lists this transfer RNA (52 nucleotides) under Ampullaceana lagotis. RNAcentral's name for it is "tRNA-Gly". The record is from RNAcentral. Lineage: Eukaryota; Metazoa; Mollusca; Gastropoda; Lymnaeidae.
UUAAGACAGUAUAAAAUGUACAGUUACCUUCCAAGUAAAAAGUCCGAUUCGG